UAGUACGGUGAGUGGACCGGGAAGAGCUCAAUUUGAAAUCUGGCGUGCUCAGUGCGUCCGAGUUGUAAUCUAUAGAGGCGUUUUCCGUGCCGGACUGUGUCCAAGUCCCUUGGAACAGGGUAUCAAAGAGGGUGAUAAUCCCGUACUUGACACAAUGACCGGUGCUCUGUGAUACGUCUUCUACGAGUCGAGUUGUUUGGGAAUGCAGCUCAAAAUGGGUGGUGAGUUCCAUCUAAAGCUAAAUAUUGGCGAGAGACCGAUAGCGAACAAGUACCGUGAGGGAAAGAUGAAAAGCACUUUGGAAAGAGAGUUAAACAGUACGGAAAUUGUUGAAAGGGAAACGAUUGAAGUCAGUCGUGACUGAGAGGAUCAGCCGGUUCUGCCGGUGUAUUCCCCUCAGUCGGGUCAACAUCAGUUUUGUUCGGUGGAUAAGGGCAGUUGGAAGGGGGCACCCUCGGGUGUUUAUAGCCA
RNAcentral lists this ribosomal RNA (471 nucleotides) under Basidiomycota sp. RNAcentral's name for it is "LSU rRNA". It matches the Rfam family "Eukaryotic large subunit ribosomal RNA", at positions 81 to 561 of the family's 3401-position model. Lineage: Eukaryota; Fungi; Basidiomycota. The record is from RNAcentral.